Molecule: transfer RNA, 65 nt
Filed under: Sepioloidea lineolata
Lineage: Eukaryota; Metazoa; Mollusca; Cephalopoda; Sepiida; Sepiadariidae
Description: tRNA-Val
Source: RNAcentral
CAAAAUUUAACAUAUAAAAUGUAUCUCACUUACACUGAGAAAAUAAUUAAUUUAAUUAGUUUUGA